UUACUUUGGCAGUACAUAUACUAAGAUUGGAAGAACGCAGAGAAGAUUAGCAUGGCUCCUGUGCAAGAAUGACAAGCACGUCCCUCCCAUAGCCUAUCCAUUCAU
Molecule: small nuclear RNA, 105 nt
Organism: Nannospalax galili (Upper Galilee mountains blind mole rat)
Lineage: Eukaryota; Metazoa; Chordata; Mammalia; Rodentia; Spalacidae
Source: Ensembl